This 329-nucleotide unclassified non-coding RNA is filed under the name soil metagenome. Its description in RNAcentral is "partial contains 5.8S ribosomal RNA, internal transcribed spacer 2, and large subunit ribosomal RNA". The stretch from base 1 to 120 matches the Rfam family "5.8S ribosomal RNA", at positions 35 to 154 of the family's 154-position model. The record is from RNAcentral.
GAUUAAGAACGCAGCGAAAUGCGAUAAGUAGUGUGAAUUGCAGAAUUCAGUGAAUCAUCGAAUCUUUGAACGCACAUUGCGCCCCUUGGUAUCCCGAGGGGCAUGCCUGUUCGAGCGUCAUUUCACCACUCAAGCCUGGCUUGGUGUUGGGCGACGUCCUCUUUGGGGACGCGCCUCGAAACGCUCGGCGGCGUGGCACCGGCUUUAAGCGUAGCAGAAUCUUUCGCUUUGGAAGUCGGGGCCCCGUCUGCCGGAAGACCUGCUCGCAAGGUUGACCUCGGAUCAGGCAGGGAUACCCGCUGAACUUAAGCAUAUCAAUAAGCGGAGGA